AUGAAGCGGAAGAAGAACGUCUCUCCUCAUCCUCAUCCUCCAUACAUGAACAACAUGAUGCGGCAUCUCAUCCCACAGGCUGUAAUAUUGUGCUUUAGUGUGAUAAUCAGCGCUCAGGACGACUUCAACCUGACUCAGAGGCCUUAUGUGGUCCUGCAGAAACAGAACUUAGUAACGUUGGGGAGUGUCCUCGCUGUCCUGCUGCUGAUGAUGAUCAUCAUGGCUGUCUGUGUCUACAAACCUCUGGCUCGUCGCUAAAUCUGGACUGAAACAUAAGACAAAUCUUGUGGUUGAAGCUGCAAUGCGAGUAGAAACCAGCAGUGGGCAGCACAACUGGGCAUCAACACCUCUCUAACUGAAGGCCUCAGUUAAAGUAUGCUGCAGCUGAACAGCUAAAAAUGAUCAAUUAUCCAUCAAUUUGCAGAUAGCAAUGAAAGAUUAUAUGCACCUGACAGAUUAUCUGCCCAUUUUAAGAGAACGUGGAAGGCAUCAUCACUCGGCAUCAAAACGGGCUCACAUGCAAGGAAACUGCUUUCAAGUAUUUGAAAGCAAAUUCAGCGCAAUUUUCAGUGCCUGAUCAACGCCUGAAAGAAUAGUUUUCAGCAUUAUCAACAAGUUCAAGUUGACAGGUUCAAUUGCAGCAAAGAAAGCCCAAGAACCUCCAAGAUCAGGAUGCCCUCCUCCUGAAGAGUGUGCUACAGGACGGUGUUGCCACCAGGGCAUGGCUUGCUCAAAAUUGGCAGCAGGUUAAUGUAAGCACGUAUGUGCACACUUUUAGGCAAGACUGUCGGACAAUGGUCUUGUGACAAGUAUGGCUGUAAAUAAGCUGCUUCUAUCCAAAGAAAACAUCAAGGAGAGACUGGUUUUCUGCAGGAAGUACGAUAAGUGGACUGCACACGACUGGUGCAAAGUUAUUUUCUCCAAUGUAUCCAUCUUGUCUAUGAAAUCUGGAAAAUAAUUUGUCUAGAGAAGAAAAUGGUAGUUAAACAGAGUGUUAUUCUGAGCUGUAUAUUGUGCAAGCAGCGAUAGAUCCUGAUGCAAUCUAUGUGCGGCUGCUUCUUAUCCAGGGGAGUUGGCUCCCUCACUGUUCUACCCAAGGACAACUCCAUGACUGAAAAUUGGUAUCAAAAUGUCCUCCCGGAGAAGAUUCUUCCAACAAACCAGGCACACUCUGCUGAUGAUCAGUGUAUUUUCCAGCAUGACGGAGCACCGUGACACAAGGUAGAAGUGAUUAUGAAGUGGCUCAGAUCAUGAUGUUGAAGAUUUGGACCUGUGGCCAGAAAACCCUCCAGAUCUCACUCCUAUUGAGCAAACUGUGGUCAGUUCUCAGGAAUACUAACUAGUCACGGGUCUUUGUGAGAUUCUCCUACUGCUGGAAAACAAUGUAACCUAUGGAUUAUUUUAGCUGUAAUAAUAUUAUAUAUAAAAUGUAUUUAUGUUCAUUUGAUUUAUUAUGUUUAUAUUGAAUAAACAUACUUUUUUCCCCCACAUUUAUCUUUCAGGUGUUCUACUCUGAAUAGCGCACUUCUUGCCAGCUGACUGACAUUGCACAGCAACAUGUGGGGGAAGGGGAAUGUUGCAUUACUCUAUGCUCCAUGCGGCCUGAGAAAAACUCACACCUGUACUUUCUUUCCCUGCUGUCUCAUUAAAAGGUGAACUGUAUGAGUGAUAGGACUAAGAGCUUUUGAGGUUUUUGAAACCAUCAUUACAAGACCCUGGUGUAGCUCUGCCUUUAUACUGGUGACCUAAUAUAAGCUUCUGUCAUUGAUUUGCUAAUAAAAGGCUUUGAAACUAA
Molecule: long non-coding RNA, 1795 nt
Organism: Girardinichthys multiradiatus
Lineage: Eukaryota; Metazoa; Chordata; Actinopteri; Cyprinodontiformes; Goodeidae
Exons: 2
Source: RefSeq, a predicted model, not a curated record